This is a long non-coding RNA of Protopterus annectens (West African lungfish), 692 nucleotides long. RefSeq lists it as uncharacterized. The record is from RefSeq and is a predicted model, not a curated record. The transcript has 2 exons. Lineage: Eukaryota; Metazoa; Chordata; Ceratodontiformes; Protopteridae.
UUGAAGUGUGUGAGAACACAGCAGUAUGUUUUCAAUGAGAAAAAUGAAGUGAUAUUUUGACUGAUGUGAUGCGUGCUUUUAUGGCUUUCCACCCCUAUUUGAAACUUCCUGUCUGCUUGAUGUAGUAUCAGAGGCAAUAAAUGUCUAUAGCUUUUAAACAGAGCCCACCUGAGCUACAGGGGCUGGCAUUUUUGUUAGAUGAAAAAAGAUACCCAUAUUCUUCAGUUUCCCAUAUAGAAUAACAGAAUAAAAGUGAUGAAAAGAACCUAAUGAAACCAACAGCAAUGACAGCAUCCUCACAAGCAUUUGAGACGCACAUAAAAGCACUAUGUAAUCUUAGUUUAAUGAAAAUAUAAUGAGAUUUCCACCACAGUCAUCUGCUAAAUUGCAAUUUGUGUCUAACAGCUUGAAUGGAAGAUUUAUCCUGUUGCUGAAAGCUGCACGGCAGUUGCCAAAUUCCCAGAAAUUCUGAAUAAAACAAAGCAAUUAAUUGUUUUAUCUAAUAAUCAGUUCUUCUGUUUCAUUUAAUUUUCUUUACUCUGCUUGUCCCCAACCUGUGAUUACAUGCCUUCUCUCAUAUUACCUGCCAUCGGCACUAAAACCUUUCCAUCAGCAUUUUAGCCUUAAGAACUCUGGAAAUCUGUCUAUAAUGCGAAAGUUAAAUUGGAAUUAAAAGACUUAAUUUAAACUCA